RNAcentral lists this ribosomal RNA (253 nucleotides) under uncultured bacterium. Its description in RNAcentral is "partial 16S ribosomal RNA". It matches the Rfam family "Bacterial small subunit ribosomal RNA", at positions 524 to 776 of the family's 1533-position model. The record is from RNAcentral.
UACGGGGGGGGCAAGCGUUGUUCGGAAUUACUGGGCGUAAAGGGCGCGUAGGCGGCCUGCUAGGUCGGAUGUGAAAUCCCUCGGCUCAACCGAGGAACUGCAUCCGAUACUGGCGGGCUUGAAUCCGGGAGAGGGGUGUGGAAUUCCAGGUGUAGCGGUGAAAUGCGUAGAUAUCUGGAGGAACACCGGUGGCGAAGGCAGCUCGCUGGGACGGUACUGACGCUGAGGCGCGAAAGCGUGGGGAGCGAACAGG